This is a non-coding RNA of Pelobates cultripes (western spadefoot toad), 317 nucleotides long. The record is from the annotation of a GenBank genome assembly. NCBI's taxonomy places the organism in Eukaryota, Metazoa, Chordata, Amphibia, Anura, Pelobatidae.
CAGGUUUCAUUUUAUUCUGACUGGCUUAUUCAAUAAAGUAAAUUAAAGGUGAAUUUCACAUUUAAGGUUAAACUAGCCGAUCUGGAAAAAUUCUCUAAGUUAGUUAUCCUUUAAAUUCCACUAGUCUGGUCUUUAAUUUGAGAUUCUCAUGGAAUUCCCUUUGAAUUCUUACUUUAUUGAAUAACCCUGUUAGAGUGCUGAUGGGUAGAUUUAACAUCCAGCAAUGGUCGGGUUAAAAUCCAGUCCUGCGAGUAAGUCAACUCAAAGUUAACGAUGUCAGUGAAAAUAUCUAAAUAUUCUCACUUUAUUCUCCUGAG